CACUCAGACCAAAUAAACUAGCAAACCAACUCAUCCACACACGUUGCGCCGCCUCCGCAUCGACGCCUGCCCACCCGCCUGCACCUGCGAGCCGCGUGGCACAGGAUGGCUGCCCACCGCUCGCCUGCCCGCCCCGUACGGCUUCCCUCCCACCGGCCACGCCCGCCACUACUGGCUGCCCAGCUCCAGACAUCCACUGCUUGGUUGCCCACCUUCGACAGUCAGCCACGCUUGCGCCGCCCUAGGACGUCAGCUGCGCCGCCCCAGGACGCGUCCACCCCCGCUGUCUGCCUGGAUGCCCUCCACCGUCGCAGCCGUGUUCCGGUGCUUGAAGUGCGAGCAGAUGGAUCCUGGCACAGCCAGCUGGAAUCAAGCGCGGGCACCAGUGGUGGUGGGAUCCCAGCCUGGGUGGUGGCAACGAUUGGAUCCUAGCCUAGGCGGCGACGACGGCGAGAUCUCGACAUAGGGGCGGCGGCGGCGGCGGGAUCCAGGUGCGUAGUUCAUGGAUUUCAUUUGGGUAACCCGCUCAGGUUUUGCUCAUAUGUCCCUUCGUUCUUUCCUUUCCCCAAAUUGAUAUGGUUCUUUGAUCUAUGAUGCCUGCAAUUUUCUGUGAAUUAAUUUCCCCAAACUAAGAACUUAUAAAGGUCCUUUACCAUGUGAUUUGCUACUGCUAACAUGUUACAUGGAGAUGAAGUCUGGAGUAAAACACUCAUUCUUGCUUUUGUGGUUUUCUGUCUUGUUAGGUUACUACUGUGUCAAUUUCAGCGGAGAUGUGAUGCAAUUCUUUUUUUAGUUUUUACCCCUUGACAGGCUGGAUGUUGUGUGUCGUUGGCUUUGGUUUAGCUAUAGAAUAGCUCAAGAACAAAAACUUGAAAAAUGCUAUGCAAGGCAAUUUGUAGGUGAGCUGUACUGGACUAAUUUUGGUGGAUGUAGGUGUGCUGUACUGUGCAUUAGAUAAAUGGCUACCAUAUGAUUUGGAAUAUAUAGUAAUUUUUUUUAACAUUUUCCCACUAAGGCCUUGCACUACUAUGGUAUUUGUAUAGAUCAUGCAUAGAACUAAUGGUUGAUAAAGUCAUAGGUUUGUUACUUUCUUUCAGUGGCUAUGUUUGACACUAUAGAACCUACCUAAUCUGACACCAUGUUCUGGAUGUCCAAGAUAAAAUUCUUCAAAGGGUACGACAGUGUACUCUUGUCUUCUUAGUUUAAGUGGUAUCAUUUAUGUGCUGCAACCAAAGUUUAACAUAAUUCCGAUGAAAUUCUGUUGGUCCCAAUAUGCUGAAAUUUGAUUAGUAGUUCUGGACUUCCACUAAUUCUGCCAAUUUUUGGUACACUGUAUCAACAUUUAUUAAGAGUUGUGAUGGUUGUGCUUUUACAUCUCUGUUACUUCUUCCAUUUUAGGUGGUGUUUUCCCAAGCCUGUAAGUCUGUUUAUGUACCUAUCAUAUAUCUGAAUUUUAGACUUACUAGAUCAUUUACGUUAUAGAUAGAUCAAUGUCUAUGGCUAUCAUACUUUUGUAUUUACUUGAGGCAGGAAGAAGUAUGGAUUAGAAAACGAGCAAGCUGCCAGAGAGGGUAUAUACAGAGUUUAAAGCAUCUUUCAUUUUUUUUCUUUUGUCCUUUUGUUUAUAGGUUGCCAAUUUCCUACCAUUCUUUUUAUCCUUUAUUCCUUUUAGGCAAUCAGAUAUUGUCUCCACCUAUGCAUGUACAUGUAGUGUAGCAAGUAGCAGCAUCAGACAAACACUUUUUGUUUAGAAAGCAUGUUUUGACUAUUCUUUGGCUGCAUGAUUCAGCAAUAUCAGUAUUUUUGGCAUAGGUCUGUUAGUCCUUGAUUCAAGACACAAGGCUGCUUGUACAACAUUUUCUCAUAGGAGAAUGUUUAUCCCUACUCUAAUUCUAUAGAGAAUUUUGGCUAUGAUUGCCUAACUAUUUCCUUUUUCUGGAUUCAAGCAUUAUGUUACUGUAGUUUGCUACCAUUGCAGUUAGAAACCAACAGUUUAUCUGCACAACUGUUUGAAGCCUCAGUGCUAACUACUGUUACAUCCUUUUAUUGUCAGGUACUUGGAAUGCCUCUAGAGAAUGCAUAUGCUGUGGAGAGCUGCUGUAUCUUUCUCAUGUUCUUUUAAAAAUGCCAAAAGUGGAAAUUGACGUCAUAGAGUGUUGUUUUUACAUGUACUGUUGUUAUUCUAUAGUAUUAUGACACUCUAGCAGUGAAGCCAUGAAUUAGCAUAGAAGACUAGCAGUUCACAUCAUGUUUACAACCUUACUACUUUGCUUGGAUGGUUGCUAAAGACAUCAUGUUUACAACCUUACUACUGUGCUUGGAUGGUUGCUAAAGAAAGUUUCAUGCCUCUUGCAGUUUUUGAUUGUCUUGGAACAAAAUAUGACAGAAGAGAGCAACUUAAGACUAGUCUGAUGACAAAGAACAAUAGGCAAUGUAAGUUUGAUGCCUCAUCUUAUUUCUUCCUCGCCGGUGAUAAG
Molecule: long non-coding RNA, 2477 nt
Filed under: Sorghum bicolor (sorghum)
Lineage: Eukaryota; Viridiplantae; Streptophyta; Magnoliopsida; Poales; Poaceae
Description: long non-coding RNA (SBIC_LNC010833)
Source: RNAcentral